Long non-coding RNA from Hemicordylus capensis (graceful crag lizard), 1170 nucleotides. RefSeq lists it as uncharacterized. The record is from RefSeq and is a predicted model, not a curated record. The transcript is spliced from 3 exons. NCBI's taxonomy places the organism in Eukaryota, Metazoa, Chordata, Lepidosauria, Squamata, Cordylidae.
AGAAAGUGGGUGGGGGGAGAAUUGGCAGUGGGGAGGAGAGGCAGCUGGGCCUGGAAGUGGAGACUGGGGCAGAAGGUGGGAGGGGAGAGAGGUAACCGCCGGCCCCAAAGAGCGCACAGAUGCUCUCUGCGGGGUCGGCUAGUUACUCCUAAUGCCCCAAGUGGUCACUAAGACAGAAUAGUCUGUAAACAAGACUAUUACUCAUUUAUUCAUUCAAAAAUAAAUAUACCCCACCCCUUCAGUGCACUAUUGCUUGAGAAGACUUACAACAUUAAUAAAAUAGAUACAAUAUAGGAUAAAACAUUAAGUUAAAAGACCAGACUAAAACCACAAUUAAAAUAACAAGUUUUAAAACUGAAAUUAAAAGUUAUCGGUAAAAAGCUAAACACUAAGAAACCUGCCAGAGAAAAGCAAAAGAUAAGAUAUAAUCUAAAAAGAUAUGACUUCAGUUGUUUCUUAAAAACAAUAAGGAUUGGAGCAUAGUGAAGCUCUUUUGGGAGGGCAUACCAAAGUUGAGGGGCCACAACCAAAAUAGGCCUCAUCUCUACACUCAUGCAGCUGGAGCCGAGUGACAGAAUGAAUUAUCAUCACAGCAAUCAACGCUCUCAGCAACUAACCCCUAGGCAUAUCAAACUCACUCAUCAUCCCUUCCACAUUUCCCGAGAAUGAUUGUGGAAUCCUCCUGGGUCUUCCUCCAUUUAGCCCACUGUCACUCAAAAAGCGACGGAUGGUGCGAUCAGACACUGAUGGACUGGACCUUGGAGUUCAGUUUGCAUCUCUUUGGAAGUUGUCCUUAGCUUUUUGUCUACCAUUCUCAUUAUCCUGCCCAUUCUGGAGUCGAUUUUCUUCUUGCAGCCACGUCCAGGGAGGUUGGCUACAGUCCCAUGGACUUGAACUUCUUAAUAAUAUUUGCAACUGUUGUCACAGGAACAUCAAACUGCUUGGAGAUGGUUUAUAGCCUUUUCCCUUAACAUGCUUGUCUAUAAUUUUUGUUCUGAUCUCCUCAGAGAACUCUCUCCUUUGCUUUCUCUGGGCCAUGUUCAUUGUGGGACACACGAUGAUACCAAACAGCAGAGUGACUACUUUUCUCCAUUUCAAUAGGCUGAAUGACUGAUUGCACGAUUGGAAAUAUGUGUGAUACUAAUUAAAGAAAACAGCUAAUUUGAAAAA